UAAGCAUCUUCUUCCAUCACUUUUGAAAUUAACAACACAAAAUUCUUACUUGCUCAGUUUUCAUCACUUUGUUUGAACUUCUGAUUAACAAUGCAGGUACGAACUCCGACUUUCUGAACUUAACACUCAAAUUCAGAUUUGUUUGUUUGUAGAAAAAGCUCCGACAAACACGGAAGCACUAUGAUACAUAUAAUGCUUUGUUGGAGAUUAAAGAUUUGAUGCUCAAAGAAACAUCCUUGUUGAAUUCAAUUAAUGUGCAGUUCCAAAAUGCUAUUACUAGCGCUGAUGGGAGGGUAAAACUCACAAACUCCUUGGAGGGAAUUUUGAAUGGGACUCAACAGGUAUCCAUUUCGUACGUAUAUUUCUACCCAAACUGAAAUUAAUCUAACCAUAUAACUUUCAAUUAUCAUCUCCAAGAAGCUCUCUUGUGUUUCUGUUCCAUGAACUAUUAUUUUGGGAAAGUAUAUUCUAGAAAAAUACAGAUAAGUUUGGAUAAGUGAGAGGUGCAAAGUUUGACCAGUUAAGUUGAUAGCUUGAUUGGACAUUUUAUUUUGAGGAGACGUGUUUGGUUUACUUGCAAAGAAAUGUCAGAUUAAGAGAUUCUUCUGUUAAUGGGGUUUAGUUGUUGAAAAUGGGA
Salvia miltiorrhiza (redroot sage) is the source of this 637-nucleotide long non-coding RNA. RefSeq lists it as uncharacterized. Lineage: Eukaryota; Viridiplantae; Streptophyta; Magnoliopsida; Lamiales; Lamiaceae. The transcript is spliced from 3 exons. The record is from RefSeq and is a predicted model, not a curated record.